UCAGCCCGCGACCCUGUCUUCUAUCUUAUCCCUUUUCCAGCACGGCGGGGCGGCGGUGGGCUCGCGGGAGACGGCGCUCGGGGAGGCGGCGGUGCGCUCGGGCGCCGCAUCAGGCGGCGGCAGCGAGGUGGGGAGGCGGCGCUGCGCUCCAGGGAUGCAGCAGCGAGGCGUCGAGGCGGCGGUGCCCUCGGGCGCCGCAUCAGGCGGCGACAUCGAAGCGGGGAGGCGGCGCUGCGUUCCGAGGAUGCAGCAGCGAGGCGUCGAGGCGGACCUGUGCUCGGGCUCCGCAUCAGGCGGCGGCAGCGAGGCAGGAGGCGCACGGGGAGAUGAAGGAGGAGAAAAUGGAGAGUCGGCCAGGGCACGGACCACAGCGGCGAAGCUUGCGGGGGGCGAUGGAGGGAGGCGGCGCUGCGCUCGGGCGCCGCAUGCCUCCUCUGCGUCUCCUUUCUUUCUUCCACAACUCCUUCUCUCUUGCAUGUCACCGUCUUGCUGGCCGCGCAGUAAAGAGAUCGAGGAAGAGGCGGGAGUCGGGUCAAUCGAUCUGUCGCACGACAGAUGCGGCACUCCCGGUUCCAUCUAGCAACGGGCAGCAGAGGGAGGUGGAAGAGGAGCCACGACCUCGGAGCAGGAUGCUGCCGCCUAACACGCAUCUGACCAUGAGCUGGAGGAUAAGAGAAGCGCAUCUCUGAAAUUCACAGUUUUAAACCCAAAGAGAUACAUCUAGACAAUGCUCGCAUGAGUGGUUCCAGUGUCAUAUACGCCAACAUGGCAGUUGGAGAUUUGGGAUCGGAUGCUGCUCCAAGAAAGAGGGACCAAGGUGCUGAAUUAACAGCAGGGGGAGGAUGAUUCUUCAGGUAACAACAUAGCCCGUCGACUAGAGAAUUAAGUUAACUGUUUGCUUUACUUGAAGCUCCAAAUUGUAGUAAUUUUAUUCGUUCACUAAUUUGGUAUAAUCUUAAUCUAGGAGGAUUAGCACUGUAUGAUAUGAGAUACUGACGUUUAGCAAUGAUAAAAGUCUAAUGUUGAAUGGUUCUUUUCGGAGUACAGUUGUAAGAUCUAUGAUUCUAGCUUCGACCUUUAACUGGACAGUACUAAUUGGACAUAUAAUUGAUGAUUUAUGCACAGCAAGAUAUUCUGUUGUUUUUAGUUCUUCAAUCAGAUUCAUCUAGCCCUUUGUUGACUUUCUAAUUGUUACCCUCUACCUCUGAAACUCAGAAAUCAGAGAAAGGUCAUUGGCAAUUUGGCAUAUCCCUGUCACUGGCGAAGAUUUGCUAGAGAGGAAGAGCACCAGAUUUUUUUUCUAUUGUUGGGGGCAUACAUAAUACAUAUAGAUAAAUUUGGACCAUUUUUAACAGAGAGAUUUCUUGCCAAAAAAAUUAACUCUGUCCAGCAGUGGGCAUUGUCAAGGUAAUAAAAGGAAUUUGCUGAACCUAAUUGAAUGAAAGAGGGAUGGCUAAUCCGAUUGAGAACCUUCUGUAACUGAAUAGACUUACGAACGAUCAACAAUACUAAAUAGUUGCAAAUUAACAGACAUUGCUUGAUUAAAAUACUGAUUUAAGAAUUUGGCGAAUCUAUAAUUCUCUACAUAAUCACUUAGUGUAUUUUUGAUCACCGGGUUAUCCUAGACCACUUGGGGACAGUAUCAUCAAUUUCUUGCAUACUGCAAUGCAAGUUUUAAAAGCCAAUUUCUUAUGUUUCUUAUUAUCUUUAUGUUCACCUAACUGCCAAGAAUCAUAAAAGGAUGCACCUAAGGAGGUAGAUUUUGUUUUAUGCAUAUUUUAAGUGUACGUAUGCUGCAACUGAUUAACAAAACAUUGUUCAACCUUCUAUGAGUCUGCCUAGGGAGCUGCACAGAUUUGGAACAACUUCCAGAACAAGCACCAAGCAUUUUGGUCAGGUACCACUAAGCUGCCAGAGCAAGAUAGCUGGGAUGUCAAGUCCCUAGGGCAAUGGUAAAUCUCAAAUUGCCUGAUGUUCGAUGGGAAGCAUCAGACAAUACCAAUGUCCAAUAGUAAGAUCUGAUUGUGCAGGUGGUCAAGCCAAGAUAAGUGUGCGUGCAUCACCGUUUAGUCGAGAUUUAGAAAAAGAUGAUGUCUGCUAUGAUAGUUUCCAGAAUAGUUUGGCCCUUGAGACACUUCCACUAUAUGCAUGCGUGUUCCUUUUUUCCAGAGAUAUGCAUGUCUAUUGAUUAUUAUUGGAAUUGGUUCAACAAACAGUGUAUAUGUGACAAAAUUACUAAUAUACUGACCGAGCCUGAUAAUCUGACUAAUCCAUACAGUGGAUAUGCACCAAUGCUCAAAUUUUAAAAAUGAAGGAUUCAACUUUUUUUUGGAUUAUUAUUAUUUGUGAAGUCGUGAGUAUGCCUAGCAACCGUAAAAAAUAUAUAGUUCGACUUAGUGGUAGGUUCUGCAGUAGUCUUGCCUUGAAGGUUUCGUCAUAGUAAAAAUUGAUAUGUCUUUAUGAAGUAAUCUGAGCAUUUUGUUGGUUGCAGGUUAACUUUGUUCUCCAAUAUAGGUGGCGUAUGUUUGUGCAAAAUGAUUAUGAAAGGACUUCUGAUAACUUUAUCUUUUGUCAAGGUUGUUUACUUGGUGGAGCAAACUUCCAUUUCCUCUGAACAGGUGAACAUGACAUGUGUGAUGGCUGUCAGCCCUAAUGAGCUUUAGACAUGUAUCUGAGGUUUCGUUGGCUGUAAACAAGUAGGGUCAACGAGUCGAGCAGAUCCUGGACCAUCACAUGAACACAUGAAAUAGGUUGAGACCGGCAGCUUUUGGUAACCAGUCUAAGCUCUAGCACCUUGAUGCAAGCCAGAAUAGCCUCACUGGAUCAACAUUCCCGGGAAUAACAGAAUUGGUGAACCAGUUGACACUUGAUCUUAACUAAUCAGUUAAUUAAACCCUGAAUUUGAAUGAAGGGCUCCUUGAUUAAUUUGUUCACAAGUAGUCCAAUGAUUCGGGGUUUAGACUUUAGUGUUUUUGGAUUAUUACGGGGCAGCAACCCUGCUUUUGAGCACACCCAAACAAAUUGAAUCAGGGUCUCUGCUUUUGGUUGUUCAAGUUUGUGGUAAAUCAUUAUGAACAGUUGUGUUUCCGGUGGCACCUAAAUACAUUGGUAGAUCUGCACUGUACUCUGCUCCUAUUGAUUGAUGAUCACAAGUCACAACCCAAUUUUAGAUCUAUUUGAUUUGUUUCGUUUAGUGUUGGAUGGUGCAAAUUAAAGAAAGUGUACUGUCAUUCAUCAAUUUACUAAAUCUGGCCUGAAUGCGCCGUUACCUCGAUUUCUAAAUCUUAACCAAUUAUCUGGUCAUCAUUCCCUUAGCUGUUUGACUAGAGCACAUUCUCUCGAUUGAGGAGAUGAAUCUAACUAAACCUUCUUAGCUUAGAAACAAAAGUCGUUCUCUCGAUGAACCGAGAACUAUUGUGGUUAAUUUGUCAGCCAUUGUGUUCCUUCUGUACUUUAAUUCUUGGUCUGUGUUGAGUUGGGGGGCUUUUUACAGUCUGACAACAAGAAUCUCAGACAGUCUGAAAUUAGUUGUUUUUUUGGAUUAUCAAGUGAUAGAAACAUGGUCCUUCAGUUGCUGUACCAAUGUAUGUUAGGGUUUAGUGAGAUUUUCUUCCUGUAAGGUGCGGUUCUUGGGGAUAGAUUAAAUACCAGUCACAUUCAAUUUGUUGUGAAGUAUACCAUUUUAGUUCAAAUGCCACCUUACCAAAAACAGAGAACAAUUUUGCCACUGGAGUAGGAUAACAAACAUGAAACCAGUUAAUCUUUGUAUCAUAGUUGAUUGCUUAUUUCUAAAGCACCAGGGCGCUCUCCCUGCAACGGGACUACUUGGGCGUCUCCGACGGCAGCAUGCUUACUGAGGCUGAAGACUAGCACGGUUGAUGAGCUAAAGUGGCGGGUGGAGCUGGGCCGCAAGUCCAUGGCGCUCGUGUGGAAGGAGCUGGAGGAGGAGCGGAUCACGUUGGCGGUGGCGGCCGCCCAGGCCAUGGCCAUGAUCACCAAUCUGCAGGAGGAGAAGGUGGUGAUGCGGACGGAGGCGGCGCAAUAUCGAUUUGUCAUGGAGGAGCAGAGUGCGUAUGAUUGUGACGAGGCUGAGGGUCUGGCUGCUGAGAAGUGCUUUGUUUUGGGCAAGCCAAAAUACUUGAAAGAAAAAAGAGAAAAUACUCUUCCCAACCAAACAACCAGCUAUUUGUAAAAUUCCCUAAAAAUGCUCUAAAAAACUAUCUGCAAAAAAACCUAACACAGUAAAUAUAGUUUAAAAAUGUUCACAGUUUUACAUAUGUUCA
Molecule: long non-coding RNA, 4283 nt
Organism: Triticum aestivum (bread wheat)
Lineage: Eukaryota; Viridiplantae; Streptophyta; Magnoliopsida; Poales; Poaceae
Exons: 3
Source: RefSeq, a predicted model, not a curated record